Long non-coding RNA from Heterocephalus glaber (naked mole-rat), 610 nucleotides. The record is from Ensembl. NCBI's taxonomy places the organism in Eukaryota, Metazoa, Chordata, Mammalia, Rodentia, Bathyergidae.
GAAAAAGACAGUUCUCAAUAAAUGGAUUGAUGAAAAUUAUAACACCUAAAGACAAAAAGGAUUGGUGAGCAUGUGAAGAAUUUGACUACAGCAGUGAGGCUGUGACCUCACAAUCCCAGGAGUUCAUACCUGGCUCUGUCCCACCCGGCCAGCACAGAGGAAAGGUACCAGAUCAUAGUCCAGGCCUGGCAAAGAGCAGGCACUCAGAGAGUACUCCUGGAACUGGAUGAAGCAGAGAAAGGCUUCCCCAAGGUGCCCUCAGAUCUAGUUCAAAUGAUCAUACCAAACCACCUCAACAAUCCACAGCUUAGUUUGCUGCACAGUUUACUGUCAUGUAGAAGAAUCUCUGUACCACGAGUGACACGCAGCACUAUACUGUAUUGCUACCCUGUGAGGCAAUUCUAGAAUAACUGACAAAAUUAACCUCAAGGAAAAUAAAGGAUUUAUCUAGGAUGAUUUACAGACUUCAAAAUUAAACGAAAGAGAAUGCAUGGCAACCACCAACAGCCCACCACACACACUCAGCCCCUCUCCUGGAAAGGCUGGGAGGUGUGCGGAUGCUAUGACUGGCACUGUUUAGAGACAAACUGCCCUUGAAUAUAGAUAUACG